UACAGAGGUCCCAAGCGUUGUUCGGAUUCACUGGGCGUAAAGGGUGCGUAGGUGGUGGGGUAAGUCGGAUGUGAAAUCUCCAGGCUCAACCUGGAAAUGGCAUUGGAAACUACCUUGCUAGAGGGUUUGAGGGGGGACUGGAAUACUUGGUGUAGCAGUGAAAUGCGUAGAUAUCAAGUGGAACACCAGUUGCGAAGGCGGCAUCCUGGACCGAUACUGACACUGAGGAGCGAAAGCCAGGGGAGCAAACGGG
Molecule: ribosomal RNA, 253 nt
Filed under: uncultured bacterium
Lineage: Bacteria
Description: partial 16S ribosomal RNA
Rfam family: Bacterial small subunit ribosomal RNA
Source: RNAcentral